RNAcentral lists this ribosomal RNA (253 nucleotides) under uncultured bacterium. RNAcentral's name for it is "partial 16S ribosomal RNA". It matches the Rfam family "Bacterial small subunit ribosomal RNA", at positions 524 to 776 of the family's 1533-position model. The record is from RNAcentral.
CACGGGGGGAGCAAGCGUUGUUCGGAAUUACUGGGCGUAAAGCGCGCGUAGGCGGGUCGUUAAGUCAGGGGUGAAAUCCUGGAGCUCAACUCCAGAACUGCCUUUGAUACUGAAGAUCUUGAGUUCGGGAGAGGUGAGUGGAACUGCGAGUGUAGAGGUGAAAUUCGUAGAUAUCCGCAAGAACACCAGUGGCGAAGGCGGCUCACUGGCCCGAUACUGACGCUGAGGCACGAAAGCGUGGGGAGCAAACAGG